AAGAUUGUUUCAGGGACUCCCAGCAUGCGCCUUUGGGCUUGAGUUUCCCUGCAAGGAGAGGGACUGUUAUCCUGUGUGGUACCUGAUGGAGCCGAACUCGGGGAGAUGGUGUUUUGAGAUACAGCAACUGAAUGACUCUUGACUACCUGUGAUGGUACUUCAGAUCACCCGUGAUAACCAGGUGAUGGGAUUCCAGCACCUGCCUGGCAUCUCCUGUCCCUGCAAAAACAACCCAAAUUCCUGCCAUGUCCUGAGGGUUUCCUGAUAGAUCACUGGUCACAGGAAAGAAGUGCACCAAAGGGCUCGACUGGAUCAUUCUUCAGCUGCUUUGAUUGAAACUAAGGAUGUUUUUCCCCAACGCUAAGUCAACGAGCAGCUCUGCCAAACUGACGUCUGCUGACAGCGUGUUUGCCUGGGACAGCAUAAAAACACCACCUCGAGCCAAAGUAGAAAAUAUCCAUCUUCAGAGCAAGAGACGUGAGCCAGGGGCAGCUCUGCACCUCUCCAACGCGAUUAGCAAACCGGACAUGAAUCGCUUCAUUAAAGCCGAACAACCCUGGGCAACCACAUCAUUAGAAAAAGAGCCAGGAAAUCCUAUCGCGGGGGCAAACCAGAGACAUUCCCCAGAGCCUCUCUCUUCAAAACGCGGUGACCUUCUGCUCGCUUGCUCCCCAGCUCCUGCUGCUUCGCUGCCCGGUGAAAGCCCCGUGCGAUGCGCGGUGGGGUCGGGCUUUAUUGCCUCCAUCCCCUCCGCGGGGGGCCCGUUUUCUCAAAGCCCCGGCUCGCCGUGUCCAGCCCUGCCCGCUUGUAAAAAGGACUUUGCAGCAAAGCAAAGUGACAGGUGAACAAUCCCACGCGAGCAGCUCCUGUCCUGUGGGUGAUGAAUGGCCAGGGUUGGGGUCUUGGGCGAGCGGAGGGGACAGCGGUGCUGGGCUGUUGCAAAUGAGCUGCCGUUAAACUUGUUAUUAUUUAUCUGGUAUAUUUAUACUGAAGAUAAAACCCUCAAUGUCUAUAUGAAAUCACUCUUCAUAUUGUUACGGCACUGCGAUAAUGUUAUAUCUCUCUAUAUACGCUACCAAACUUUAAAUGUUUUAUGUACAAAUACUAAUAGCAAGGGGGUUUCUUUCCUUACUCAGACCUGAAUGCCCCAUUGGUGUUUUCACAGCCGUUCCACUGUGGCUUCUUCCUACUCAGCCUCUCGUUAUAUCUUACCAGUACAUUCUUGCUCCUGGUGCUGUGACGAUCCUGGAUUUGUGCUCUGUCUCCUGGAAAAAUCCUGCCCCGAGUCCUUUUUGGGUCCCAGCUCCUUAAAAACCUCUUUGCAAAUCCCACAAAAUUUUGUCUGCAAAUAAAACUAGAAGUUUUGCCUCAAUAGAGCUGGAUUUAACCUGUUGUUGCCUUUAUCAGCCGCUCUGGGAAGAAAAUCAGGUUGAAAGAUAGUCAGGUGCUUGGCAAAUAUUCCCCUCCUCUCUGCAUUUCAGCUCUAACAUCAAUGACUCUCCGUCUGUUGGUUCAGUCCAUAUUAGCUGUGUGUGGAUUUGCAUGCUGCUAUUAAUUGCAGAGCAAAUUAAGCUUCUUCAGACCAUAUGUUGCUGUUAUAGUGUAAACAAAUAUGUUAUUAGCCACUGUAAAAAAUAAAAAUUAAAGCACAGUUGGACUAAUAUUAUUGCAAAGAGAUUAAAUACCGACAUCUAAAAAAUUGGCAGUAUUUCCACAAUGGGACUUUUGUCGUGUAAUGCUGUAUCUACUGGGAUUAUCCUUUUAAAAAAUUGGCAGUGUCCUCAGAAAGUGCAGCUUCUUGUUUAUAUUUUUUCUUUUUAUUUUCUAUUUUUGGCAGCCUCUCGAAGGAAAAAAUAUAAAUCUCUUUGCCAUUUCCAGGCUUGGAGAACUUUUGUCUUUAUGCAGCAAAGUACCAGUUGUGUAAGCGACAAGAUUUCUCCACUCAGCAUCCUGGGGACACCCAUCGAUCAAUGACAGGGAAUUGAAGUUAGAGGAGAGAGGGGUGACUUGGAAAAUAAACUCUUCACGUUGAACUGACGAAGUGGGAAACAUCCGCUGCUGGCCCAUCUCCACCGGCUCGGAUGGAGUUGUGCCAGCACGGAGUUUGGCCCGGUGUCUUUCGACUCAUUAUUCUUUCAUUGGUUAUUUGCUGGAGUUUAUUGAAAGCUGGAGUUUUACAUCUGCUGUCUCCCAGACUUUCUUUCCUCCUCUGAUGAACACGCUUUGUUUUCAUAUUUGGCUUUCACAAGGCUUGCGGGCCCCAGUUUAAUGGCGAACAGGUUUUUUGGGGGGAGUUGUUGGCCACGUGCACACACACACACAGGUAUAUACGAGGUUUGUUAUUCUAGAGAUGCUCAUCAGCAGUGAGGUAUUUUUAUGUAGCUAGAAAAAAUUAAACGCAGGAAAGUUUGUUGUGAAGGAAAACCAGCAUGUAUUAAAUGAUUCACUUUUUUUCUUCUUCGGUUUUAGCAGAG
This is a long non-coding RNA of Columba livia (rock pigeon), 2474 nucleotides long. RefSeq lists it as uncharacterized. The record is from RefSeq and is a predicted model, not a curated record. The transcript has 4 exons. NCBI's taxonomy places the organism in Eukaryota, Metazoa, Chordata, Aves, Columbiformes, Columbidae.